AACAUCUUUAUUCUUUUCAACCAUGUUUACUUGACCCUUCUCUUAUCUUUCUUCGGAGCACGACACUUUGUAGAUUUGAGCCCAGCUUGUCCAUGGUUGUAGCAAUUUCCGUUGAAUCGUUGCUUGCUUGGGUUGCUUUUCGGUCCAAAAUCAUGCUUCCUCUUUCUCUCAUUUUGAGAAGUAUCCUCAAUAAUGUUUGCUCCCAUUAUUGUUGAGUUUCCACGGCCGCUCUUUUCAGCAGCUUUGUUGUCCUC
RNAcentral lists this long non-coding RNA (254 nucleotides) under Nicotiana benthamiana. RNAcentral's name for it is "long non-coding RNA (NBEN_LNC012957)". Lineage: Eukaryota; Viridiplantae; Streptophyta; Magnoliopsida; Solanales; Solanaceae. The record is from RNAcentral.